RNAcentral lists this transfer RNA (60 nucleotides) under Lepidostoma fui. Its description in RNAcentral is "tRNA-Ser". Lineage: Eukaryota; Metazoa; Arthropoda; Insecta; Trichoptera; Lepidostomatidae. The record is from RNAcentral.
GAAAUAUAAACAUAUUAAACUUCUAAUUUAAUUAAUAGUGAGUAAGUCAUUAAUAUUUCU